This 277-nucleotide ribosomal RNA is filed under the name uncultured bacterium. RNAcentral's name for it is "partial 16S ribosomal RNA". It matches the Rfam family "Bacterial small subunit ribosomal RNA", at positions 28 to 288 of the family's 1533-position model. The record is from RNAcentral.
GACGAACGCUGGCGGCGUGCCUCAAACAUGCAAGUCGAGGGAGGGUUGCUCGGGGGCUUGCCCCCGGGUUCAACUCUACCGGCGAACGGGUGAGUAACACGUGGGUAACCUGCCCUGAAGACGGGGAUAACCUCGGGAAACCGGGGCUAAUACCCGAUACCCUCACCGGAGGGCAUCCUCUGGUGAGGAAAGGUCCGCAAGGUCCGCUUCAGGAUGGGCCCGCGGCGUAUCAGCUCGUUGGUGAGGUAACGGCUCACCAAGGCGAUGACGCGUAGCU